This 790-nucleotide ribosomal RNA is filed under the name uncultured archaeon. RNAcentral's name for it is "bacterial SSU rRNA". It matches the Rfam family "Archaeal small subunit ribosomal RNA", at positions 85 to 879 of the family's 1478-position model. The record is from RNAcentral.
ACGGCUCAGUAACACGUCAAUAAUCUAACCUUAGGCUCAGAAUAACCUUGGGAAACUGAGGGUAAUGCUGAAUAUGAGAUUGAUACUGGAAUGUUCUUUCUUUGAAACGUAAGGUCUAAGGAUGAGUUGGCGGCGGAUUAGGUAGUUGGUGGGGUAAAGGCUCACCAAGCCGAAGAUCCGUAGGGGCCUUGAGAGAGGUAGCCCCGAGAAGGACACUGAGAUACUGGUCCUAGCCCUACGGGGUGCAGCAGGCGCGAAACCUUUGCAAUGCGCGAAAGCGUGACAAGGGGACCCUGAGUGCUUAUGUUUAACAUAGGCUUUUGCCAUGGGUAAACACCAUGGCGAAUAAGUGGUGGGUAAGACCGGUGCCAGCAGCCGCGGUAACCCCGGCGCCACAAGUGGGAAUCACAUUUAUUGGGUCUAAAGCGUUCGUAGCCGGUUUUGUAAGUCUUUUGUGAAAUUGUUAUCAUAAAAAUAACAACGUGCAAAAGAUACUGCAUUACUAGGGAUUGGGAAGGGUAAGGAGUACUCCAAGGGGAGCGGUAAAAUGUUAUAAUCCUUGGAAGACUACCUGUGGCGAAGGCGCCUUACUAGAACAACUCCGACGGUGAGGAACGAAAGCUAAGGGAGCAAACCGGAUUAGAUACCCGAGUAGUCUUAGCUGUAAACGCUGCGAGCAAGAUGUUGCAUAUUCUUAGUGAAUGUGCAGUGUCGAAGAGAAGUCAUUAAGCUCGCCACCUGGGAAGUAUGGUCGCAAGGCUGAAACUUAAAGGAAUUGGCGGGGGAGCAC